CACUCCAUUUUAUUAUUCUCCAAGCAAAAGAAGCACGGAAAUGAUAUUUUGGCUGCACUUCGUUUUUGUUUCCACACUUUUCAGAGAUGUCCAAUCAGAGAUAAAAUUGGAAGAGUCUGGAGGGGGUCUAAAAAGGCCUGGUGAUUCCAUUUUGCUCUCUUGUAAAGCCUCUGGUUUCACGUUCAGGAGCUACUACAUGGAGUGGGUGAGACAAGCUCCUGGAAAGGGCCUGGAAUGGGUUGCCGAGAUAGGUACAUCCUCGAAUUACCCUGCUUACUCAAAUGCAGUGAGAGGACGCUUCGUCAUCUCCAGGGAUGAUUCCAAUAGUCUGCUAUAUUUGCAAAUGAACAACCUGAAAACAGAAGACACUGCAGUAUACUAUUGUGCAAGAGACACAGUGAAGGGAAGUGAAUAUGAAGCCAACCCAAAAGUCUCACAUGAUUAUGAAAUCUUUCCCCUCGCAUCCAUCUAUCCUCUGACAAUGGGGAACUGUGGAACAUGA
Molecule: non-coding RNA, 502 nt
Organism: Anolis sagrei ordinatus
Lineage: Eukaryota; Metazoa; Chordata; Lepidosauria; Squamata; Anolidae
Source: the annotation of a RefSeq genome assembly